AUGGGUGCGCUGGUGCGCCCCCACGAAAGAUUGCAAGAAACAAAACAAGAGACAAGAGAAGAGUUUUGUCUGGUUGCCAGCAGCCGGCAGAAGAGAAAAAAGAAGAAAAAGGGCAUUGCAAAACGCCUCGCCGCCUGGCCGGUCAAGCCUGACCGGCUGGGACCCUCCUCGAGCACCCGAGGGCUCGAAGCCUACACCCAGCGGGUGCGCCGGCGCACUCUGCGAGCGCCGAGCCGCGCCGGCUGUCUUUGCAAACUCCGCCUCGGCUACACGAGAAUCAAUGUGAGCUCCUCACCAUCAUAUUUUUGCAUCACGCAAGCACGGAUAACCCUGAGCGAUGCUCGAGGGCUAUCUCCGCAUUUUAUUAUAGUUGCACUACUGUUCACCCCGGCGCCAGCCAGAGGUGGCCCGGGGGCUGGCCGCUUGGCCUGA
RNAcentral lists this ribosomal RNA (432 nucleotides) under Triticum aestivum (bread wheat). RNAcentral's name for it is "partial small subunit ribosomal RNA". The record is from RNAcentral. Lineage: Eukaryota; Viridiplantae; Streptophyta; Magnoliopsida; Poales; Poaceae.